RNAcentral lists this long non-coding RNA (211 nucleotides) under Elaeis guineensis (African oil palm). RNAcentral describes it as "long non-coding RNA (EGUI_LNC000888)". The record is from RNAcentral. Lineage: Eukaryota; Viridiplantae; Streptophyta; Magnoliopsida; Arecales; Arecaceae.
GGCAAAGACGGUGGCCGGCGGCGGGGCUUUGGGCCAGGGAAGAAAGGGAAGAGGGAGAGGAAAAAGGGGAGGGGCUUACCUCGAGCUCCGACAAUAUCGUCAGCUCCAAUUUUCGGCGAGCACAAGUACGGGAGACCUUGACUUCAACCGGAGAAAACAAGGAGAAAGGAGAGAGAGAACCGGUGAUCACUAUGGGUUGUUUAGGAGGGGG